This is a long non-coding RNA of Hipposideros armiger (great roundleaf bat), 2305 nucleotides long. RefSeq lists it as uncharacterized. The record is from RefSeq and is a predicted model, not a curated record. Lineage: Eukaryota; Metazoa; Chordata; Mammalia; Chiroptera; Hipposideridae. The transcript has 4 exons.
CCCUCCCCCAAUCCCCCAAUAAAAUCUUUAAAAAAAAAAGUAAACAGUCAAAAUGCGUAUGUUCCUAUUUUGUUACUUCCUUACCUCUUGCAAACUAAAUGAAAAUAACUUUGUGGAGAAAAAUGUUCCUGUGAAAAUCAAGUAGGCUACUUAGAAUGUAGCCACAUUCUACCUCUCUGUUGUUUAACAAUAGCUAUUUACUGUAGAUCUAGGUCAUUUUUGUCAACAAAAACUGUCCUAUAGAUCAAGGGGCUCUCUUUGGGGGAACAGUUCAGAGGAACAGAAAGCUACUGACCCUUGAGCCUGAAAAAUUGGGAACAACUACCUUAAGUUCAUAGGACUGAUUUAAUAGAGAAAAUGAAAGCUUCUGAGAUCACUUCUUAGCACUGCUUCCGCAGACUGGACAACACCACCUCUCAAUUCCUACUGCAUUUCCUAGUGUAGUGUCUGAUUUCCUGGCCCAGAAGCCUCUGCCCCUCCUACACAGUAGGCUGUCUUUCCUGAUCUCCGUGUAUCGCCAAUUACUGUCCAUCUCGAAGUGCCUCGUGUCUUUGAAGCUGUCCCAUACCCCCCAAACGAAAGAGCGCCUGAAUAAGGGGGAGGGAAGGUGUUUAUGAAAUCCUUGGGAUCCGGGAUCAAAACACAGCACGGUGAUGCAUCUCGUGCGAACCUCCGUGACUUAGGUCGGCAUUUCCCGGGCCUUCACGCCCGUUGCGCUAGUCCAGCGGCCGCGGGGCGGCCAGGCCAUACACCUGCUGGUGCCCGGGAAGGGCCAGUCCUGGGCAGAGGUGUUGCCCGACGCAGCGGCUCAGGGCCCCGCUCAUUGGCCAAGUAUCAGACCCUCCCCCUCCUCAGCUGUGUCCAGACGAAACCCGGAGGGGAUUCUCCAGCGGCCCUUCACCCCCAGGGGCCAGGCCUGCGGCUGCCUCAACUCCUGGGGGCUGGCGGCUGAAGCCUGGGGCCUGGGGAGGAGGCCAUAAGCUUAAGAGCAGGCCGCAGUUGGGGUCGGUGGCCUGAGGGGUGCGGGCCGGAGGCCUGAAGAGAACAGGGCCUUUCCCAGGAUGACUCCGCUGACAGGUCAUAAAAGACAUUGCUGCUCCUGUCUUUCUCUUUUGGAUCACUCUCUAGCCAUCAUGCUAUGAGGAUACGUAUGCUGCCCUAUGGAGAGGUAUGUUGCUGAGGAACUGAGGCCUCCCGCCAACUUGCCAACCACCUGAGUGAGCCAUCUUGGAGGAUCAUCGAUCCAGAACCCUCUCCAGACUCUAUGGACACACCACGUCCUCUGGGGAAGUCUCUUUCUCUAAAGGCCACUCACUCCCUACAGCCCUUGUAGCUGCCUUCAAUAAUCAUCUGGCACAGAGGGAAGAGGUUUAUGGGGCUCCUGGCCCUGAGUAGUGAGUCACGGGAUGUUAUGCUCCCCUUCCGUGGCACGUGGGCCAGGCCCAGGGGACUUUACCCUGGCACCUGGGGCACUGCAUCAUACCUUAGACCCCAUGGGCCUGUCUAUGCCAACUGUUCUGGCUUAAGCUUCUGGAUCAAAUGACCUAUUGGUUUGAUUCCAUGAUUUGGGAUGAUUCUUUGAUGAGGAUGACUUUGAAGCAUGUGACAGGGAUCUCAAACUAUAAGAAAAUAAUACCUCCUUGCCCCCUCUUUCUGAGGGUGCUUCAGACACCACAGAGGCUCAAGGGGAAAUCCAGAGGAAGAGGUGGGGCGGACCCCAUCCUUUCAGGGAGGUCAUGGGGGUUGGGGGAGGAACAGCACACGCGUGGAAAGAAUCUGCUCCGUGAUACACCAAAUAUUUAAGCAAGCCUAAGCUAUGCGGAAAUGAAAGGAGAGAUGGUGGGUGCUUUCCUCUCCAGCGUCACCGCCCCCAGGCCUGUGUCAUCCAUUCUGGGAAGAGCUCCUCUGAGAACCCUGCCACUGGGGAGGAGGAAGGACCCUCGGGGAUUGUCUCUUUCAGUUGCUCCAUUUGGCAGAUGAAGAAACUGAAGGCCCAGACCAUUUUCCCUGCUGCGUUUCCUGCCCCCUACUCAGCUGGGACCUGCUUGAGCACUAAAGCUCCUCCCAUUAGUAACACAGACUUUGGGGGCAGUUCCAAAUAAGAAGUCUGUCCCUCAGCUGUGUGAUGGUCCACAAGUCACUUAACCUCUCUGAACUUCAGUUCUUGAUACGUCCAAUGAGAAUCACAAUACCCAGAAUCAUUCGCCGACAAAUCAAGGGUACAGAAGAACGGGAGGGAAGGCGAUUGUUAGAGAUUAAAGGAGACUGAUGAGACAAGACAAAAACAACAAAUGCCUUGUGUAAG